UCCUGGGUUCUCUCCCACCUCUGGGAGGGAAGCAGGGGCUAGUGGGUUAGAGCAGGGGGGCUGGGAGCCCAGACUCCUGGGUUCUCUCCCACCUCUGGGAGAGGAGUGGGGUCUGGGGAUUACUUACUAAUUAUUUCUUGCCUUAUUUGCCAACUCUAAAAUAAUUGCUCACUGCGAUCCUCCUGAGAUAGUUUCCUCGGCUAAAAUGACGUUUCCUCCCCCUGUCGAAGCUCUAUUCUCUAAUCGGUCCAUCUCCCACAGCCAGCAGCACUGGAAGGAGCAAGUGGCCGACUGUCAAAUUAGGAACCGAGUGAUUACGUUUGCAAUCAUUAGCCCUAUCCUAGGAAAUUAUAUAGCGCUUCUUCUCGUUUGCUCUCAAUGCUUUCCAAUAAUUAGCCAUUUCACAAAGAUUUAUGUGCCGCCUAGAAAAUCUUUUUUGCAACUAGAAAUUACAUUUAACAAUUGGUCAGAAUUGUAUAAUUAUUAGUCUCUUAAUAAUAAUAGUAUUUAGUAAUUAAUCACCAUUUUCUAAUGAGUAAUUCAAUCAAGAUCCUGAGCUCUGCGGCAUUAAAUGCCGCUUAAAUCUUUCCUCACCAUCUAACGAGCAGCAGAUCCACAUCGGAGAUCAUGAGGAGUCAUUUGAUAAUUGGCAACAAGGUGUGGCUACUUAAGCAGAGUUGGGAUCUUUAUUUUAAUAUUGUAAUCAGAGAAUUAAUACUACAGUGAUCACUGUAACCCUUUGCUGUUAAAUCAGUCAAGUAGUGAUCGUUGGCUUACAACAAUCACUGCACAAGUCAUUAUUUUGUUGCUAAUUAUACCAACCUACAGCUCAGAGAGGAGUGGGUGGAGUGGGGUCUAGUGGUGAGAGCAGGGGAGGUCAGGGGCCCGGACACCUGGGUUCUGACAAUCCUACACAGGGUCCCUGAACCGGCCCCCUCUGCUUGUGGCUCCCUGUUCAUUUACUCAGCCAGGGACCGCAGGCAGCGGGAGCUGAGGGAAGGGCAGGGCAGGGCAGGGGAUGGGGCAGCCAGAGCCGGCACAGGGCGGUGCCCACCGAGGGACGCGGCUGGAGAACUGGCACCGAUACGGACAGUGGACUCCUCCAUAAAGUAGAAAGCACUACUAAACCACCGUGUCCCGUGUAGUGUUUCCUACUUUAUGGAUGAGUGUACUGUGAGCAACGGGAGGAGAGACCGUCGCGCCGCAGGGGCUGGGGACCCAGGAGUCCGGGCCGGGGCUGAGUGGGGGUGGGAGCCAGGAGUCCAAGACCCCGGGGUCUGGGAGGAGAAACGGGGGGAGUGGUUCCCAGCGCCAGAGGUGGGGGUGUUGGUGGAACGGGACCCAGGAGUCCGGGUCUCGUGGCUGGGUGUGGGAAGAGGACCCGGGCACCUGGAGGACAAAGAAGAUCCUGGGGGCACGACCCAGGCACCCAGGCACUGGAGAAGAGCAAGGAGCCAAGGGAAGCCGUCCGUGGUGUCAGAAUGGAAGGACCCAGAAGUCCGAGACUUGGGGGUGAAAAGCCCCCUGAGAGUCCCGGGGAUUCAGCAGCUGGAGAAAUGAAGGUAUCAGAAACCCAAACUUGCGGAGCACCCAGAGUCUGCUCGGACCCUGGCCUGGAAAAGGGGGGGGGGGGAAUGGUUUCAGAUCUUUGGUGGGGCAAAACAGCUAUAGACGGUUGUUAUCCACACAAACCCAGGGAGGAGGGAUCUAGGGACUGUACCUCAGCCAGCAUCUGGAUUCAAAUAAACUGCUGCAUUAAAAGACAAA
Molecule: long non-coding RNA, 1767 nt
Organism: Dermochelys coriacea (leatherback sea turtle)
Lineage: Eukaryota; Metazoa; Chordata; Testudines; Dermochelyidae
Exons: 2
Source: RefSeq, a predicted model, not a curated record